Molecule: transfer RNA, 82 nt
Filed under: Phlebiopsis gigantea 11061_1 CR5-6
Lineage: Eukaryota; Fungi; Basidiomycota; Agaricomycetes; Polyporales; Phanerochaetaceae
Rfam family: tRNA
About the family: Transfer RNA (tRNA) molecules are approximately 80 nucleotides in length.
Source: Rfam by way of RNAcentral
GGGCACUUGGCACAGUGGUAGCGCGCACGCUUCGCAUACGAGCAUUUGCGUGAGGUCGGGAGUUCAAUCCUCCCAGUGUCCA